This 301-nucleotide ribosomal RNA is filed under the name uncultured bacterium. Its description in RNAcentral is "partial 16S ribosomal RNA". It matches the Rfam family "Bacterial small subunit ribosomal RNA", at positions 509 to 808 of the family's 1533-position model. The record is from RNAcentral.
CAGCCGCCGCGGUAAUACGUAGGUGGCAAGCGUUGUCCGGAAUUAUUGGGCGCAAAGGGCUCGCAGGCGGUCUCUUAAGUCUGAUGUGAAAGCCCCUGGCUCAACCGGGGAGGGUCAUUGGAAACUGGGAAACUUGAGUGCAGAAGAGGAGAGUGGAAUUCCACGUGUAGCGGUGAAAUGCGUAGAGAUGUGAGGAACACCAGUGGCGAAGGCGACUCUCUGGUCUGUAACUGACGCUGAGGAGCGAAAGCGUGGGGAGCGAACAGGAUUAGAUACCCGUGUAGUCCCUGUCUCUUAUACA